This 784-nucleotide ribosomal RNA is filed under the name Salmonella enterica. Its description in RNAcentral is "bacterial LSU rRNA". It matches the Rfam family "Bacterial large subunit ribosomal RNA", at positions 1 to 816 of the family's 2925-position model. The record is from RNAcentral. Lineage: Bacteria; Pseudomonadati; Pseudomonadota; Gammaproteobacteria; Enterobacterales; Enterobacteriaceae.
GGGUUGUGAGGUUAAGCGACUAAGCGUACACGGUGGAUGCCCUGGCAGUCAGAGGCGAUGAAGGGCGUGCUAAUCUGCGAUAAGCGCCGGUAAGGUGAUAUGAACCGUUAUAACCGGCGAUACCCGAAUGGGGAAACCCAGUGUGACUCGUCACACUAUCAUUAACUGAAUCCAUAGGUUAAUGAGGCGAACCGGGGGAACUGAAACAUCUAAGUACCCCGAGGAAAAGAAAUCAACCGAGAUUCCCCCAGUAGCGGCGAGCGAACGGGGAGGAGCCCAGAGCCUGAAUCAGCAUGUGUGUUAGUGGAAGCGUCUGGAAAGGCGCGCGAUACAGGGUGACAGCCCCGUACACAAAAGCGCAUGUGCUGUGAGCUCGAUGAGUAGGGCGGGACACGUGGUAUCCUGUCUGAAUAUGGGGGGACCAUCCUCCAAGGCUAAAUACUCCUGACUGACCGAUAGUGAACCAGUACCGUGAGGGAAAGGCGAAAAGAACCCCGGCGAGGGGAGUGAAAAAGAACCUGAAACCGUGUACGUACAAGCAGUGGGAGCACAGGUUUACCUGUGUGACUGCGUACCUUUUGUAUAAUGGGUCAGCGACUUAUAUUCUGUAGCAAGGUUAACCGCAUAGGGGAGCCGGAGGGAAACCGAGUCUUAAUUGGGCGUUAAGUUGCAGGGUAUAGACCCGAAACCCGGUGAUCUAGCCAUGGGCAGGUUGAAGGUUGGGUAACACUAACUGGAGGACCGAACCGACUAAUGUUGAAAAAUUAGCGGAUGACCUGUGGCU